Long non-coding RNA from Macrobrachium nipponense, 2633 nucleotides. RefSeq lists it as uncharacterized. Lineage: Eukaryota; Metazoa; Arthropoda; Malacostraca; Decapoda; Palaemonidae. The transcript is spliced from 5 exons. The record is from RefSeq and is a predicted model, not a curated record.
AAUUAACCCCUGGUGUAGGGGGAAAACGCGAUUAGUGGCGUGGCAACACUAGUGUACAUGCUUGAAUGCGGCAGCGUGACUGAGUGGUGUUGUGCUUGUGGGACUGUCGUAUUCGACCCUCCUUUCUCGGACACAGGAAGAUUUUCCUAAAACAGGAUCUGAUUGUGGAUAGUUGGGAGAACAAAUUGAUGACACCUGGUCUGUUGUACCUGUUCCUCCCUCGAGUGAUGGGAGAGACGUCACCUUAUCAGUGAUGACGGCACCACCAAGAAAGUGAGUCUUUUGUCUGCCAUUUAGGGAAUCUACAGCUGUGAUAAUUGUUAGAGAACUGCAAUCCUGCUAAGGAAGUCCUUACAUAAACUAAAAAUUAUGUGUAUAGCCAAAUUGUCUUCAUUGGGAUAGUUGUUGGUUGGAUACUGCAGAAAGUCCUGCAUGGCAAAAUCAUGUGUGUAAAUACUUUUAACCUUGGCAUGCAGUGUUGGGUAUAUGACGAUCUCGCCCAAAUGUGGGGGUAGGAAGACACUUUCUUACUCGGUAAGUUACAUGCUCAGUAAACAUACAAUUGCAACUGUUGCUGUUUAUCAGUAUUAAUUAUUUGCCAUCUAUCUUUGUUGCAGAAGCAUCAGACAUAGCUACGAAAUGCCUAGCUGAGUCUUGUACUACUGGUGACAAGAGGAGGAGGAAAACCAUCACAUCCCCCUAUUUCCAAACGUGAAGGCAACAUGCCUGUAAUAUUUGUAGUACAGGAAUUUCAUGCUUGUCAAUAAUUUUGAUUCUAAAACUUGAAAUGGAUUAAUAAUGCUGUUAAAUCUUCAGCAACAAUAAAAUCCAAGGUCAUAUAAAGAAGAGCUGGAGAUGAAGAAAUUACUUGUCAUGUAGAUUGAAGACCACAUAACAGAAAAAUGUGCUUAUCAGCCUACUGGCAAUCCAAGUGAAGGCAAGAUUAUUUAAACCCCAAAGGAGCGUGCUAAUGACCUAAGUUAUACACAAAACUUCACAGCAAAUAAUGACUGGUCUCAACACUUAUGAUAAAAGGGCAUCAUAAUUUCCCAAAUGUGAAGGUAAGGGGUGGAGCAGCAAGAGCUAAUCAUCAUGCAGGGGCUGAAGCAUUUAAGGAGAACUGAAUCAGAAGGUUGUAAAACAAAAAUGGUAAUCAUUGGGAAGUAGCUUUGACAUCACAGCAGUAGUAGGUCAUGAAAUUGUUAGCGGCUUAAGAAUUUUGAAAUACGUAAAGAGCCGAUUAGGCUGAGCUUAUUGAGCUGGAGGAAGGAAGAGACCAAGCAGUUCAGGAAGAGGAAGAAUCGGCAGUACCUGUGCCAAAAACAACCUGUGCCAAAAACAGACUCACAACAAACAGAUUGGCUAAGGCAUUUGCGUGUUUUGUCAGGGGAUAAAAAUCAAAGCAAUCAAAGAGAAUGGCAGAUUCAGGAUGCUAUUGUCUGCUGUAAAAAGAUUUAUAAUGAAAUAAAUGACAGGAUUUGGCCAACACUCCAUAUCCUCAAGAAAAAACCAGACAGAUCCUCAGUGCCUUCUACCAACUCUUCCCCAGUUCCAGCUAUCAACUCUAGCCUUGUAUGAGAUAGAGAUGGAUGAUCCUGCUGCAGUAGUAUCUCCAUCAACCGUCAUCCAGCAGUUAAUUUGACUAAAGUCCAGGAGGAGGAUCCCAAGUAGUUGCACAGGAGACAUUUACCACUUGCAUGAUGAAAUCAUUCAUAUAAUGGCAGAGAAAUACUUGAGCACCACCUCCAUGACCCCACCAGAAUUGAAGCCAUAGCAUCCCUACAGAACACACAGCCUCCUGUUUCUCCUGCCUCAAAAAGCAGUCUUGCUUCUGAAGGGAAGAAGAGGAUUAUAGAUAAUACCCCUCCACAGAGUUCACACAUGAACAGACAGGUUUGAAGACCUCGGCUGUUUAAGCAGAACUGUGUAGCCAUGAACAUACAAAAACCCUGAAUUGGAUACAGAUGUGAUAAUGAGCUGACUAGAGUUUGGGAACCACAAACACAGCUGAGCUAUGCUGCGAUACAGUCCAUACAUGUAAGAACUCUUUAAGAAUAUCAGAGUAGGGCUAUGUGGACUCCAGAACCUAUAAGGAAAGCCAUUCAGACUUGUAAAAUAAGCCAUUCGGACUCGUAAAAUACAGCAGAGAGCAGAAUAUGAUUCUAGAGGAACCCAGAUAUGACACUAAUCACAGCCAUAUUGCAGGAUGUGGCUUUAGUAGGACUUUGUUAGAUUUAAACCUAAAAUGGAGUAAUGGCCACAGUCUCGGACUUCUCAACUACCUUGUUGCAAUGACAACUUCCAAGAGGAUCAGUAUUGUGGACCAUUCUCCUACACACUGAUGCAAGCCCCUCUAGUCAUAGUUAGGCUAACCACUAAACUUAACUCUUGGAAGAAUUGUCUUGAAGAAUUACUCCCUCUCCAUCAAAACACAGCUAUUGUUGGACAUACGAGACAUCCUGAUCAUAUCCAGAGUUAAAAAGUUGCAAAUAGCCAUUGUCAUCAUUGCAGUUAUGAAGAAUAAUCAUGUUCUUUAAGGUUGAUGACAAAUAAGGCUUAAUAUAUUGAUGUAUACAUUUUUGGAUAUUGUUUACAAGAAAUUUAACAUUCCUAUCUUUUAAGAUGACUGCCCA